Molecule: ribosomal RNA, 535 nt
Filed under: Streptococcus sp. oral taxon 058
Lineage: Bacteria; Bacillati; Bacillota; Bacilli; Lactobacillales; Streptococcaceae
Description: bacterial SSU rRNA
Rfam family: Bacterial small subunit ribosomal RNA
Source: RNAcentral
GCAAUGGACGGAAGUCUGACCGAGCAACGCCGCGUGAGUGAAGAAGGUUUUCGGAUGCGUAAAGCUCUGUUGUAAGAGAAGAACGAGUGUGAGAGUGGAAAGUUCACACUGUGACGGUAUCUUACCAGAAAGGGACGGCUAACUACGUGCCAGCAGCCGCGGUAAUACGUAGGUCCCGAGCGUUGUCCGGAUUUAUUGGGCGUAAAGCGAGCGCAGGCGGUUAGAUAAGUCUGAAGUUAAAGGCUGUGGCCUAACCAUAGUACGCUUUGGAAACUGUUUAACUUGAGUGCAAGAGGGGAGAGUGGAAUUCCAUGUGUAGCGGUGAAAUGCGUAGAUAUAUGGAGGAACACCGGUGGCGAAAGCGGCUCUCUGGCUUGUAACUGACGCUGAGGCUCGAAAGCGUGGGGAGCAAACAUGAUUAGAUACCCUGGUAGUCCACGCCGUAAACGAUGAGUGCUAGGUGUUAGACCCUUUCCGGGGUUUAGUGCCGCAGCUAACGCAUUAAGCACUCCGCCUGGGGAGUACGACCGCAAGG